GCAAGUUUACCACCACAGACAAAACAAACAUGUGGAGCUGCUUAUGUGAUGCAAAUAUCAAAAUUUGUCAUUGUUGCCAGGGAGACGGAUGACAUCAGGGAAUGACAUCGCAUCACUUCCUGCGGCCACCGACAAGCUUUAAUUAUCACUAGUGAACGCUGGAUCUGGAGACAGACAGGACAAGCUGAAUUCAUGCUCAACAUGAUCAAGCAAUCAAAAGAAAUAUAUUUUCUUUGCAUAAGGGCAUAGAGAUGAACCGACCCAGACGACGUAUCAUCCCAGAUGACCCCCAAAACAGCAACAACAAGCCCUAAUUAAACCAUUAAAUCAUCUUCACAAACCAACACAAACUGUGAGGCUUUCACUUUCUUGAGUUUGUUACCUGAAACACUACAUCCAUCAGAGAUCACACAUGAGUAUGAACAGCAGUAAUAUUAACAGAUGAA
Molecule: long non-coding RNA, 446 nt
Organism: Cyprinus carpio carpio
Lineage: Eukaryota; Metazoa; Chordata; Actinopteri; Cypriniformes; Cyprinidae
Source: Ensembl